Molecule: ribosomal RNA, 1372 nt
Filed under: uncultured bacterium
Lineage: Bacteria
Description: bacterial SSU rRNA
Rfam family: Bacterial small subunit ribosomal RNA
Source: RNAcentral
GAUGAACGCUGGCGGCGUGCCUAAUACAUGCAAGUCGAGCGAACGGACGAGAAGCUUGCUUCUCUGAUGUUAGCGGCGGACGGGUGAGUAACACGUGGAUAACCUACCUAUAAGACUGGGAUAACUUCGGGAAACCGGAGCUAAUACCGGAUAAUAUUUUGAACCGCAUGGUUCAAAAGUGAAAGACGGUCUUGCUGUCACUUAUAGAUGGAUCCGCGCUGCAUUAGCUAGUUGGUAAGGUAACGGCUUACCAAGGCAACGAUGCAUAGCCGACCUGAGAGGGUGAUCGGCCACACUGGAACUGAGACACGGUCCAGACUCCUACGGGAGGCAGCAGUAGGGAAUCUUCCGCAAUGGGCGAAAGCCUGACGGAGCAACGCCGCGUGAGUGAUGAAGGUCUUCGGAUCGUAAAACUCUGUUAUUAGGGAAGAACAUAUGUGUAAGUAACUGUGCACAUCUUGACGGUACCUAAUCAGAAAGCCACGGCUAACUACGUGCCAGCAGCCGCGGUAAUACGUAGGUGGCAAGCGUUAUCCGGAAUUAUUGGGCGUAAAGCGCGCGUAGGCGGUUUUUUAAGUCUGAUGUGAAAGCCCACGGCUCAACCGUGGAGGGUCAUUGGAAACUGGAAAACUUGAGUGCAGAAGAGGAAAGUGGAAUUCCAUGUGUAGCGGUGAAAUGCGCAGAGAUAUGAAGGAACACCAGUGGCGAAGGCGACUUUCUGGUCUGUAACUGACGCUGAUGUGCGAAAGCGUGGGGAUCAAACAGGAUUAGAUACCCUGGUAGUCCACGCCGUAAACGAUGAGUGCUAAGUGUUAGGGGGUUUCCGCCCCUUAGUGCUGCAGCUAACGCAUUAAGCACUCCGCCUGGGGAGUACGACCGCAAGGUUGAAGCUCAAAGGAAUUGACGGGGACCCGCACAAGCGGUGGAGCAUGUGGUUUAAUUCGAAGCAACGCGAAGAACCUUACCAAAUCUUGACAUCCUUUGACAACUCUAGAGAUAGAGCCUUCCCCUUCGGGGGACAAAGUGACAGGUGGUGCAUGGUUGUCGUCAGCUCGUGUCGUGAGAUGUUGGGUUAAGUCCCGCAACGAGCGCAACCCUUAAGCUUAGUUGCCAUCAUUAAGUUGGGCACUCUAAGUUGACUGCCGGUGACAAACCGGAGGAAGGUGGGGAUGACGUCAAAUCAUCAUGCCCCUUAUGAUUUGGGCUACACACGUGCUACAAUGGACAAUACAAAGGGCAGCGAAACCGCGAGGUCAAGCAAAUCCCAUAAAGUUGUUCUCAGUUCGGAUUGUAGUCUGCAACUCGACUACAUGAAGCUGGAAUCGCUAGUAAUCGUAGAUCAGCAUGCUACGGUGAAUACGUUCCCGGGUCU